This 740-nucleotide long non-coding RNA is filed under the name Homo sapiens (human). Its description in RNAcentral is "long non-coding RNA NONHSAT233256". The record is from RNAcentral. Lineage: Eukaryota; Metazoa; Chordata; Mammalia; Primates; Hominidae.
GAUAAAAGAUGCUUGGCUAAAGUCUAGUCUAUUUUAGGUAAUAGUCACCAAGCUUUACUCAACAAUUUUGAAUUCUUUGCUGUAAACUGGAAGUAUUCACUGUGAUAAGUAUACAUAUCUGCAACACUUUCAGCUGAUUUUAGUCCCUAAUUCUAGACCUUACCCAUUUUACACACACUAUUAGCUAAAUCGUGUUCCUGAGGCAUGGCUCUGAUUACUUUACUCUGGCUUUAGCCUUGGCCUCAUCCGUUAAAUUGAAACUGUUCACCAGACCUGUAUGCAUUAAAAAUUUUUUUAUUAGAAAAAUCAGUGUCUUGCUAGCCAUGUAUGAUAGCUAUCAAAUUGAUCAUUCUGUAAAUGGUAGCAAUAAGUGUAUCAACACUUUGACCUCCUCUGUGUCUAGUAACAUUUGCAUAUAGUACAACUGAGCACAUAGCACCAGAAUAUUGGAACAGAUGCUUCUCCAAAGCCAAGGGUUGCCUUACAUUUAGAGUGGGAAAAGAGGAAAAUGAGUUAGCAGAGGAGCAGCGGGGAGGGGGGUAAAUUACAGGACAUAAUUUGCUUCUAAAAAUUUGUGUUUCGUGUUGUAGUUAUAUAAUUAACUUUUCUAUUGUACUGAUUGACAGAUUUGGCACAGACAUCCUCUCAUUGUGAAUAUAUAUGAAUAUAUCAGAGUUUUGGACUCUGGGGUAUAUUUACAUAAACACAAGUAUUCUGAAAGCAUUGAUAACCACACUGGU